AACGUAGGUCACAAGCGUUGUCCGGAAUUACUGGGUGUAAAGGGAGCGCAGGCGGGAAGACAAGUUGGAAGUGAAAUCUAUGGGCUCAACCCAUAAACUGCUUUCAAAACUGUUUUUCUUGAGUAGUGCAGAGGUAGGCGGAAUUCCCGGUGUAGCGGUGGAAUGCGUAGAUAUCGGGAGGAAUACCAGUGGCGAAGGCGGCCUACUGGGCACCAACUGACGCUGAGGCUCGAAAGUGUGGGUAGCAAACAGG
Molecule: ribosomal RNA, 253 nt
Filed under: Faecalibacterium prausnitzii
Lineage: Bacteria; Bacillati; Bacillota; Clostridia; Eubacteriales; Oscillospiraceae
Description: partial 16S ribosomal RNA
Rfam family: Bacterial small subunit ribosomal RNA
Source: RNAcentral